RNAcentral lists this ribosomal RNA (459 nucleotides) under uncultured bacterium. Its description in RNAcentral is "partial 16S ribosomal RNA". It matches the Rfam family "Bacterial small subunit ribosomal RNA", at positions 338 to 795 of the family's 1533-position model. The record is from RNAcentral.
CCUACGGGUGGCAGCAGUGAGGAAUAUUGGUCAAUGGACGGAAGUCUGAACCAGCCAUGCCGCGUGCAGGAUGACGGCUCUAUGAGUUGUAAACUGCUUUUGUACGAGAAUAAUAGUUCUUACGUGUAGGGAUUUGAAUGUAUCGUACGAAAAAGCAUCGGCUAACUCCGUGCCAGCAGCCGCGGUAAUACGGAGGAUGCGAGCGUUAUCCGGAUUUAUUGGGUUUAAAGGGUGCGCAGGCGGAGGUGCAAGUCAGCGGUCAAAUUGCGGGGCUCAACCCCGUACUGCCGUUGAAACUGCAUCCCUUGAGUGCGCGAGAAGUAUGCGGAAUGCGUGGUGUAGCGGUGAAAUGCAUAGAUAUCACGCAGAACUCCGAUUGCGAAGGCAGCAUACCGGCGCGCAACUGACGCUCAUGCACGAAAGCGUGGGUAUCGAACAGGAUUAGAUACCCCUGUAGUC